Molecule: small RNA, 699 nt
Filed under: Drosera tokaiensis
Lineage: Eukaryota; Viridiplantae; Streptophyta; Magnoliopsida; Caryophyllales; Droseraceae
Description: eukaryotic LSU rRNA
Rfam family: 5.8S ribosomal RNA (bases 314-470)
Source: RNAcentral
UCGAAACCCUUAAUCGAAAUGAGGUGACCCGCUCACGUGUCAACCAAUUGAAGGGGACGUAGCCCGUCGCACGAGAGACGAAGAUACAAGGCGGCCUGGCGGCCUAACACCCCCUCGAAUGUCAUCCUGGCAUGGUCGCAAGGCGGCACCUUCACUCAGUGUGGGAUGCAUGUCGAGCUUCAAAGAUAGGAGUGGUAGCUCAACCAAACCCCCGGCGCAAGUCGCGCCAAAGAAAAUGGAUAUACAACCACCGUGCUCCCUGCCGGCUCAACGAUGGGGGCCGGCAUUGUGUCAUUUAAUGCAUAACAGAGAUGACUCUCGGCGACGGAUAUCUCGGCUCUUGCAUCGAUGAAGAACCUAGCGAAAUGCGAUACUUGGUGUGAAUUGCAGAAUCCCAUGAACCAUGGGGUCUUUGAACGCAAGUUGCGCCCGAGGCCACCACGGCCGAGGGCACGUCUGUCUGGGCGUCGCGUGCAGCGUCACCUAACACCUCCUCGCCCCCCGCGCGGAGGUGUCGGUGGAGUAUGGCCUCCCGUGUCGUAGGUCUCGACGCGGUUGGCCCAAAUGGGAAGCUCGGGGCAACGGAUGCCGUGACAAUGGGUGGUCCGCGAGGCCGAAAGGCACGGUCACGACGUCUUGUCAUUGCAUGGUUUCCCGCUGCUUGUUUAGAUCCCCUUCCGCCACCGUGGCGGGAUACAA